RNAcentral lists this transfer-messenger RNA (354 nucleotides) under Planctomycetota. RNAcentral describes it as "JAEUHX01 sp016792805 Standard tmRNA". It matches the Rfam family "transfer-messenger RNA". From Rfam's summary of the family: Bacterial tmRNA, also known as 10Sa RNA or SsrA, is named for its dual tRNA and mRNA-like properties. The record is from RNAcentral. Lineage: Bacteria; Pseudomonadati. RNAcentral also lists the same sequence under 1 other name.
GGGGGCGAUCGGUUUCGACCGAGCGUCGGAUGCGACGAGUGGCGUGUCGAGGACCCCGGUUGGCCUCGUAAAUCUUCCCGGGACCGGCAGAAAUGCCAACAACUACGCUCUGGCUGCUUAAGAACUAAGCAACCCGUCGCCGGACCCCGCUCCUCAGGUCCGGUCCGACGCCAUCGAGGAGCAGGCCCCGCGAGCCCGCCUGGUGCUCAAAGGGUGACACCGAACCAGGCUGGCGCUCCUGAGCCCCGUCGGUCGGGCCGCGGGAGGGCGAGCACAACGAACGGCCGAACACACACGUAGAGGCUUGUCGUGGACGGGCUUGGGACGCGGGUUCGAUUCCCGCCGCCUCCACCA